Molecule: long non-coding RNA, 4650 nt
Organism: Strigops habroptila (Kakapo)
Lineage: Eukaryota; Metazoa; Chordata; Aves; Psittaciformes; Psittacidae
Exons: 3
Source: RefSeq, a predicted model, not a curated record
UCAAUUCACCCCCUUUUUAUAUUUUCCAUUUUCGUUUCAGUUUUUUUUCUAGCAAGCUCUUUGCAUACUCAAUAGGCUUUUCCCCUCCUCUCUCAUGAUGAUGUCUUAGAUGUCACAAAGAUUUUAUAUACUUUCUUGCUCUGUCCUCUUCACUUCUGAUGCAAUUAUCAGUCUCAUAGUAAAUUGAAAAAACACCCUGACCCUUUAUCUAUUUCCUUUUGCAGAUGUAUUUAUAAAAAUCUAUGUACUUCACAAAAAAAUCUCUACCAGACCACAACCUCUCCUCCCCUGACAUUAAUCUAGAAACCAUCCCAAAACCGAGAUUUCUUUCUGGUGAUGUUAAUCUUAAGUGCUAAAAUGCCUGUCUGUUAUGUUGACAAACAUUUGUUAGAACACCUCUGAUAUUACGAAUCACUUAGGGACUAGGCAAAUAGGAAUUCUGUACCUGCAGAAAAAAAUUGUUUUAUAAUAGGAAACAUAGCCUUUCCUUUUAACCCUAAGAAGUCUCAAGAUAUCAGGUCUUAAAUUUAUUCAUUAUUCUACACAUGAAAGCAACUUCAGACAUGUUCUAGAGCUUUGUUUUUACUGAGAGUUUUGAUUCCCUCCCCCUUUUUUUUUCAUCAUGCGUAGAUGCACAGUAAGAUUUAUUUUACUACAGGGGUUUGAAUUUCUAAGGUAUGAAAAGAUCCCAAACUAUUUUGAAAAGCAAUCCCUCCAAACAUUUUUAUACUUGUAUUUUGAGGGAGAAAACUGUACACAGUAGGCUGCUGUCCUGAAAACAUGUUGCUGGCACUCUUACUAUGCUCUGUGUAAUAAAUGAGUGGCAAAGCUCUCUGUGAGCUCUGAAGUUGUCAUGAAAUAACUGUACCCUCAUCCUUUCAUUGGUCUGUUUUCUGCUAUCUUUUUUCAUGUCAGGCUUCCUGACUUCACCUGUCCCGGGGAGAGGCAGGAUUUCACAAUUGUCCUGUAAUUAUGCUGGGUUCUGGGACACUGUUUAUGUCUACAGUAGCUGUGUUAACCCAGACAGCCUGAAUGGAUUUGUAACUUCUCUUUCAGGAAGUGUGUGAAUACUUUGCUUCCUUAACAAUAGAAUGCUAAUUAACUAUUUAAGCUUAAAUAUGUAAACUUAAAUAUUUCAAAUAAAUAAAUUGAUUUGAAAAUAGCAGUCUAUAUGCAUAUCUGUCCUGCCUCAAGCUUUCCCAUGCACUAAUGGUAGUGUAACCCUGACUAAUUUCUCUGUAAAAUAUACCAACAGCUUGCAUCCCAGACUGCUCAGACAUAAGUCUUGUCUGUUCUGAAACAUCUCUUGAUCUUUCAUAUACUUUUUUUUUCCUGUGCCUGCUUGGAUUUUCAAUAUUUUUGAUGAGAUGCAUUUUUCAGACCGGCUGUAGAAUCAUUAGAAUCUCCUGCACCACCAAAAUGGACAUUAGUGUUUUGUUAAUCUCACUUUCUUCUAAGAGGCACUCCCUUGUACAACAUUUUCUGCUUCUUGUUUUUUCCCCUAAAGCCUACUUAUUGAACUCACCUAAUUUAAGACCAAUAGCCAAGUCAAUAUAUUGUAUUCAUAAAUCAUUACAGAGCAGCUCCACUUUCAUCACAGCAGCUAUGUGACUUCCUGAAGAUCCAACUUUCAGAGCACACUGUCUUGACUUACGUAUCAGAGAGUCGAAACGUCUUUCCCACUGGAGAGAGCUUUGGUACUCUGAUAAUGUAUAUAACCUGUAUUUAUAUUUAUCAGUUAUAUUUUGACAAUGUUGAUACUAAGGGUCUUCAAUAGUGCUGAAAUGGUUCACCAACAUAGGCUUAGCAGAGUACUGUAUGAAAUGUCCUUCCUUGGAUCAGUAAUGCACCAACACUUGUCCUUAGUACCAAUAAAGUAAAUAGCCCUCAUGAUGGUACAGUGCAAAGCUUUAAUUGAUUUUUCCUGUUCAGAAAAUUCAACUAGCUUUGUACCCUUCCAGAUGACUGAGUCCCAUGUAACAUAAGAGUCACAGUCUAUACUUGGGCUGAAAAAUUUUACAUAGCAAUAUCAGAGCUCUUCUCCGAGCCAGUAAAGAAAAGGUUUCCCAGCAACAGCAACAUUGUAGAGGUACUAUCAGAUAAAACAUAAAAUCACAGCCCUGAGCACUAGCUAUCACCAAGCAUUCCCUAACACUCAGCACAAGAUUGAAAGUGUUAGUUCCAUUUUCCUGGCCAGAUUCCCCUGCAAUAUUUAAAUCCAACCUGCUGCUUCCCUUUCUCUUAGAGUUCCAGCUCUUGGUCUCCUGUGUGCUGUUAAAAACUGCCGGUUUCCAGCUGGGGCUAAGGAAAAGGGGAAUUGUGCAGAAGAUAUUUAUUCAUUUGGCACCACAGUGCCCUUUCACAUCUGACUGUGAAAGUUUUCCUGACAGAAGUUGGAGGACGAUCAGAAAUCUGAUGGCAAGGAAAAACAAUCUGAAGACUCUGUUGAUAAACAGGAUGCUCUGCCACAAACUACAAAAAAAGACAUGAAAAUAUUACGUUAAUACUUUUGGAACACAUUACUUACAGUGGUGGCACAGUGGAUGUCUUUCCAUACAUUGGCUUCCCUGGAGAGAUCUGAGACUUCAAAAAGGUUAUCAAGAAUAACUUCCCCAAUCAUGUCAUGUCUAGAAAAUCUGUCAAAAUCAUAAACACUGAAAUGCAAUUUCCUGUUGCUGAGUUGAUCAUAGGCUACAGGAAACUGAAAGGUUUCAUCAAAGACAGGAUUUAAUGUCUUUCUGUGAACUCGUGUCUGAAACUUCUUUUUCCUAUCUGGGAGCAGAUAAAUCUUAACGUAGGGGUCAGAUGUUCCUGUGAAGUCUUUAGCAGGCAGAUCUAAGGCUUUGACAAUUGUGACAGCCAGAAGUUCAUUCUCAUAAUCAUACCGGAGAGUGAAGUUAAGCUUUCCACAUGUUUUCACAUCUUCUUGUUGCCCAUCAGAAUCCACAGACUUCUGUUUGUAGAGUUCCGGUUUUAUUCUCCCAAUGCUGGUUGUUGUCUCUCCCCUUUGCAAAAUCGGGUCUGUCCCCAUGUUAAAAUCAACACUGGACACUUGCAUCUGCCUUGGCAAGUGCCUCCUGAAAGAAUUGUGCCUGCACACAUACACACACACACAGAAUGGGCCAUGGUUAUCUCUGGGAAAAGACUUGGCUAUUACUAAGUAGAAAAUACAAGAAGAACAAAUCAGUAAAUGUUCCUCUCUUUAGAAUAACUUUAAAAUACCUCCCCAUCUCCCCCAUUUCCCCCAAAUAUUUCUAGUGUUAAAACAUCCUUGAGAAGAAAUGAUCAUUCAGAAUGAACUUCUUAACUUCUUGGUCUGAGAGAUACCCAGUGUCCGCACAAUACAUAUAUUUAUAAACUUAUUUUCAGGCUAUGCAGCUGAAACUUAAUUCAGGUUCUUUCACAGAACAAGUUGACAGUUCCAACAUUGCUUGAUCCCACUGUGCUAGGGCCUGAGUAAAGCACAGUCAGGCAGAAAAAAAAUGACUUUCACAAUUGACAUCAGUACUUCCUGGUUCUUGGAGGCAUUCCAUGGUGGUUUUCUAAUUAAAUAUUUACCAAGCUUCACACUGAUCACUAUGAAAGGCACCUGAAAAGGCCAUGCAGAACUACGUCGAGGGGUUUUCAGCACAGUUCAUUCUACAACAUUUUAUAUACACCCACUUGGUAUUUGCUACACUGAGGUACAGGCUGCCUUCUCCAAUCCUACUUGGAAUAUUUUGUUCCGGCUGCAAUACAUUUCAAAGUUCUCAUCAACAUUUUUCUGUGAUAGGUUUUUUAGAUCUGUUCUCACACUGCUGUGUGGUGUAUUAGAAAGCUGAUUCCUAUACUCCCAGCAAGAAACAAUAUGUUUAAAUCCUUGUAAUUCUGAAUUCAGUGUUGCAUAUGUAUUUAUCUUGACUCAUGAACUUCAAUGGAAAUGUGUGCCCUUCCUACUGAGAGUGAAAUCAAACCCCUGACAUGCCAUGCAGCCUUACAGUAGUAUGACAACACUGGUCAAAAAGCUUUGUAGAAUUAAUCAUCAGCAGAUGGAUUAUGACCACACUGCCCAGUUUAUUUUUUGGACAUUUUCACACUUCCUUGGUACUUCACUACCCCAACAAUCUGUACUGAAAAAGCUCACUACCUCCUCCAGUGAGCAUGCUUAGUUGCCAUUAAAAAACAAUUUAAUUGUCAGACUUUCCUCUGCUUUUUGAAAUCAAUUGCUUAUUAAUGCCAAAUGCAGCCUUGCCUUAUUGCUUGGUUUCCCUGUGGUGCUGUGUUCUGAAAACAAGAGGUGUCACAGCUGUGUGUUUCUUUCUUUAAAUCAGAAAUGCAAAUCGUCCAUUUGAAAGCAACCAGGACUGAUUUCAGAGAUAUUAUUUGUAUUUUUGCUGUAAGUGAAGUGGUCGCAGAAGGCAUGAAGCACAAAACUACCACAGUUCAGCUGAGCAGAGAUACAAGAGGGUAAUAUGCAGCCAUUAAAUAAUAGACAAGAAUGUUUCCCCUUUUGGCUGUUAAAAGUACUGCUAGGUGCAGGGAGCAGUCCUAGCAUAACACAAGAAUAGGGGAGGGAGAAUAUCAUAGUAUAGAUUUGAAGUAGAUCCAAAAAAUCCAGCUGUUCUGAUCUCAAACACCCCUCUUGUAACACCUAACAUUCUACCUUUCUUU